UACGUAGGGUGCGAGCGUUGUCCGGAAUUAUUGGGCGUAAAGAGCUUGUAGGCGGUCUGUCGCGUCUGCUGUGAAAAUCCGGGGCUCAACCCCGGACUUGCAGUGGGUACGGGCAGACUAGAGUGUGGUAGGGGAGACUGGAAUUCCUGGUGUAGCGGUGAAAUGCGCAGAUAUCAGGAGGAACACCGAUGGCGAAGGCGGGUUGCUGGGCCGACACUGACGCUGAGGCGCGAAAGCCAGGGGAGCGAACGGG
Molecule: ribosomal RNA, 253 nt
Filed under: uncultured bacterium
Lineage: Bacteria
Description: partial 16S ribosomal RNA
Rfam family: Bacterial small subunit ribosomal RNA
Source: RNAcentral